Molecule: ribosomal RNA, 217 nt
Filed under: uncultured bacterium
Lineage: Bacteria
Description: partial 16S ribosomal RNA
Rfam family: Bacterial small subunit ribosomal RNA
Source: RNAcentral
CCUACGGGAGGCAGCAGUGGGGAAUUUUGGACAAUGGGCGCAAGCCUGAUCCAGCCAUGCCGCGUGAGUGAAGAAGGCCUUCGGGUUGUAAAGCUCUUUCAGUUGGGAAGAAACGAUUGCAACUAAUAAUUGUAAUUAAUGACGGUACCGACAGAAGAAGCACCGGCUAACUACGUGCCAGCAGCCGCGGUAAUACACGUAGGGUGCGAGCGUUAAU